AGCCUGUGAUGAAUUCAUUAUAUUUCUGACACCUACUAUGAGUAUUGCUAAGCAAUACAUGAUUACAGUUGUGAUCUGAGGCUC
This is a small nucleolar RNA of Polyodon spathula (Mississippi paddlefish), 84 nucleotides long. RefSeq annotates it as small nucleolar RNA SNORD60. The record is from RefSeq and is a predicted model, not a curated record. The transcript has a single exon. NCBI's taxonomy places the organism in Eukaryota, Metazoa, Chordata, Actinopteri, Acipenseriformes, Polyodontidae.